RNAcentral lists this long non-coding RNA (3580 nucleotides) under Apis mellifera (honey bee). RNAcentral describes it as "uncharacterized LOC102653975, transcript variant X3". The record is from RNAcentral. Lineage: Eukaryota; Metazoa; Arthropoda; Insecta; Hymenoptera; Apidae.
AUUAUUUUAUGAAUAAACAUUUUAUCAAAAGAAAAAAAAAUUAAAUAAAUAAAUAAAUAAAUAAAAGAACAUAAAAGGACUCGAGAGAUGUAUUCGGUAGCAGGACAAAUUCUCAUGAGAGGAUUGCAAAGCGUGUUGUUGAAAAUGAAAAUCCCACGCAACAUCCAGGAAGUGGUGAGGGUGGCACCGGAUGCAUCUCAAUGAGGGGAGAACGAGCGAAUGAGUCGCGUAAAACAAUCCUUUUUGCGUUUCGCAAAGACUUACCGUCUCUCUUUCAUCUGCGGUCAGGUGGGGUACCCGUUUAGCAAGGUAUUUCGUUGCAUACACAGGUGUUCUCUCAUGGUUCGUUGUAGACGAAGGUUAGAAAACAAAUACCGUUUCCUUUUAUAACGUUUACCGCCACUAUCUUCCGAACGAUGAGCCGUUUUAGAUUAUUUCUCAAGGAAACAUGUGUUUAUAUUAUGUCUUGAAAAGACGGCCGGAGGACGCGUGGCUGCGUCUGCAUCAGGUCUAUUUACCACCUAAAGAGUCACCUGUUUCAUCUAGGUAGAAGAAUUUCACUAUCAAAUCCGAGUUUACCGUUGGUAUAUGUUAUCUCGUCGCGUGCACGCCGCCAUAGAAUGAAAACGUAACUGUGUGAUAAAUCAAAUCUUUAUCGAGAUCAAGGUGGUGGAUCGAGAUCGAGGUUGGAAACAAGGAUAUACUAGGAUCCGUUAAGGCGUGAACAAAUGCAUUUUCAUUCAUCACCAACCAUUGCUUCUCUUGAUAUGAAAAAAGGAGAAAAAGGAAAAAAAGAAAACGACGUUAAAAAUAUUCUUUGCAAAGAUCCUUCCAAUUGAUCGUUCAUUAGCGGUGGUCGUUUAUUAAUUGUUCGGCGUGGAAGUAUUGAAUGGUUGCGGAGAACAAUGAAGGUGGUGCACGUUAUACGAAAAUAUCUUUUGUCGUAGUCGCGAUUGUACCCACUUCCGUGGGAAUUCGCGGAACGGAAGUGCAAUUUCUGGCAAUGGGUACACCACCAUCAUCGUGGCCAGCUUCAGCAUAGCGCGAGCAACGUGAAAAAAACGAUUCUUAAGAAAUGAUGCCAGGUGCACAACACGCUUCCUUCUCACGAGAACUCGAGAUUAAUUUUUGAGAAAUUUUUAACAAGUGUUGGCGCGCUCGAGGAAUUAAGAAGUUAACGAUGUGUCAUCUUAUUCUCGUCCCUCGAAUCCAGGUCACGCAUAAGUCAUGCACCAUAUGUUUGAGAGCAUCUAAUCCGUCUCGAUACGAAUCUCUUGUGUUUUAGUUAUUCCGUUUUAUCAGAGUGGAAGUGGAAGGAGGAAGAGGAAAAUAUUUGAAAAGUCGGACGCAGAAUUACAAGGGUUGGAAAGUUUCGAUGGAAACGAGGACGGCGAGUCACGUGCGAGCGAUCUGUCUCUCCGCCGUUCCGAGACAUUUAUAGAAACGAGGGACGUGCGAUGACGUGAUUUGGCGAGAAUGAAAUAAAAAAAGGAGAAAAAAAAAAAAAGAGCGCUCGUGUGAAAGGGCGAAUCAAGGUAAACGAGUAAUUCGAAGUUAAUUAGAACGAUGGUUGAAAUCGUUUGUGAAGAGCGAUUUAUUAUAUUCGCACCUUUUUUACCGUCCGAGUCGAUCGAACUGUAAUGUAAUUUAAAUAUGUGCAUUGCGGUAAAUGUUAUUGAAUGACGCGUUGAUAUGUCGAGCGUAUAUAAUAUUAGCCACGAUUAAUUUAUGCAUUACGCUUUGCAAACGAAUGGCGCAGGAUUAUCGAUCGGCUGUAACUCGUGUAAUUAUUUAUGCUCGUUGGCGGAAGAAUUUUCAUAACGGUAUGGGAAAAUCAGUCGGCAUAUUCCGUAAACAAGAAUUAUUAAAAGUUCGUUAACCUGACAUUCCACGAUAAUAAUCGAGAAAUCAUCGUAUACCGUUGGUCUUGAGAGUAUCCGGUCACAUUGUAUAUUCGGAAUAAUUUAUGAAAAAUUGCAUAUUAACGAGCAUUUAAAUAACAAUUUUUGACAUCUACCUAUAUUUAGUAUUUCAUUUACAUACAAUGAUAGUUUAACCGUUUUAAAAGAAAAUAAAAUGCACGGUGAAAAAUUUAUCAAAAGGUUUUGACAAUUCGUUAGAAAUUCCACUCGGAGCAAACGAGUUACGACGCGCAAUCGCAUUAUGGCCGUCGCGUUAUAACAUGACGCUUCGCUAAAUUAUUGCUCGAAAAUUGGCACACUUCCUGUUCCUUUCUCGCGUUGCAUUGGCUCGAACACUCCGCUCCGAACAUGAGUGCUAUCCGUUUCGAUCAUUCUCGAUAUUUUCGAUAAUAAAUUCGAGACAAUGGGUACGCGCCGCUAAAAAUAGGUUAAGUCCACCCACCGAAUCUAAAUGGCCGUUCGACUUUUCCGUUCGAUUCCGUUCGGACUAAAAUAGAUUCACGUAGGUCGCGGACGCAGCUGUGGAUUUCUAUCUAACGUUUAUUUCGUGUUCGCGCACCGUUCACCCAUUUGCGGCAGGUCAGUGACGUUACCCGGCCCACGUAUCGUCUAACAAACGACACUCUUCUCAGACUUUCCAUUGCAGAAAUAUACAAGCAUCGAAACAAAGCGAUGCGUCACGUGGACUCGAUGAAUUUUACGACUUCCCUCCGUCACGAAUCUCGCCACUUUUUUAUCAUUAUGCCUAUAGAUUUCCAAACGUUUAUUCCGUUUCGCCGAUAAAAGAACAAUAAUAUUCCACUAUAUUUCGUCUACCAAGAUACAAUACGUAAUCGAUGAAAAGAGUUUCGCGUUCGAAUUUCUUUCCGUCUAUUGUGCUGCGCGAUUCGCAAAUGCGACAGUGGCGCCAAACGAUAAGAAAGUGAAAACACCAACGUACAAAGCGCCUCCUGACCUACCAGACUUUCUAAUAGUUACUGUAUCUACCAGUUUCGAUCCGAUAUUUAUAAAACUUUCUAUUCUUUUUACUCUCGCGUUGUUCCGCUAUCCGUCGAGCUCGAAAUUUUAUCGUCGAUUCAAUCCGUAUCGAUCGAGCAAUUCGACACCGAAAUAUAUAUCUCGUUCUACCAUUGUCCCACCAACAAUGACAAAAUCCAUUGGAUACUGUUUUUCAACGAGAUCGUUAGAGUGAAAAGAAAGGUGUCUCCCAUUUGCUGUGGGUGCAUUCAACCUGUCCGGAAUUUAAAACCCUCGCACGAUAACCUCUUCUUUCGUACGCGGAGAAAUCCAAGACUCGGCUUGUGAACUCGAGGAGCACAGGAAAGACCAAACCAACGAUGUAACGUUACACUGUUAAAUCCCGUAUGAAACGUUAGUCACCAGUACUCUCUCUCUCUCUCUCUCUCUCUCUCUCCUCUCUCGUGAGUUACCGGAUGCAGGAACGACCGCAACACGACAGGAUCUAUGGUGUCCGAAGGGAUGUGCCUUAUCUCGAGGGAAAGCACGCAGUGUCAAAGUUUCACUUUUAUUAAUAACACGCGUUUCAUCCAAUUAUUCCAAAUUCCUUCCUUAUUUUCCCGAUUAAUAAAAUCGAUAAGGAAAUACGAUACUUUUCUCUACGUUACGAGCAAACGGUUACGAGCGUUCGUGUACCAUUG